GGGGACGACAUUGGCUUCGACGUGGGUAACAAAACUUUAUGGUGCAUGCCGAGGAUAGCACUUACCUCGUAAAUACAGUUGCUAACUUAUAGUUGCUAACGAUAACAACUACGCGAUCGCUGCCU
Molecule: transfer-messenger RNA, 125 nt
Filed under: Gammaproteobacteria bacterium
Lineage: Bacteria; Pseudomonadati; Pseudomonadota; Gammaproteobacteria
Description: partial transfer-messenger RNA
Rfam family: transfer-messenger RNA
About the family: Bacterial tmRNA, also known as 10Sa RNA or SsrA, is named for its dual tRNA and mRNA-like properties. Its role is to liberate the mRNA from a stalled ribosome.
Source: RNAcentral